Molecule: non-coding RNA, 28 nt
Filed under: Homo sapiens (human)
Lineage: Eukaryota; Metazoa; Chordata; Mammalia; Primates; Hominidae
Source: RNAcentral
UCAACCACAAUAAAGGCGCAGCGGCUUA